Molecule: long non-coding RNA, 629 nt
Filed under: Pongo abelii (Sumatran orangutan)
Lineage: Eukaryota; Metazoa; Chordata; Mammalia; Primates; Hominidae
Description: lincRNA
Source: RNAcentral
AUCAGUACUGUGCUUUUGGAGGAUUCAGAAGAAGGAGAAGUUAUAUCUGAUUGGGAGAUUGAAAAGGAUUGGCCUGAAGGACAGGUGGUUUUUGAACUGCAUCUUAAAGAAAAGGAUGGAGUCUUGCUCUGUCAUCCAGGCUGGAGUGCAAUAGCGCAAUCUCGGCUCACUGCAACCUCUGCCUCCUGGGUUCAAGCAAUUCUCCUGCCUCAGCCUCCCGAGUAGCUGAGAUUACAGGCGCCCGCCACCACACCCGGCUAACUUUUUGUAUUUUUAGUAGAGACGGGGUUUCACCAUGUUGCCUAGGCUGGUCUCGAACUCCUGACCUCAUGAUCUGCCCACCUCGGCCUCCCAAAGUGCUGGGAUUACAGCUGUGAGCCAUUGUGCCCAGCCAGUUAGGGUAUUUAUUAAAAAUUGUUUUUCCAGCUUAAAUUUAGGGAGUAAGGGUGAUUACAAGGGACAACAUAGAAAAAUUGACAGAACUCUGGCUUUGGAGGCAAACAACCCAUGGAUGGAAUCCUGGCUCCACCACUUACAAGCUGGAUGGCUUUGGUCAAGUUACUUCACUUCUCUUUCCUUCUAUUUCCCCACCCCCCAAAUAAGGAAAUGAUUAAUAAUAACUAACAUUU